RNAcentral lists this ribosomal RNA (253 nucleotides) under uncultured bacterium. RNAcentral's name for it is "partial 16S ribosomal RNA". It matches the Rfam family "Bacterial small subunit ribosomal RNA", at positions 524 to 776 of the family's 1533-position model. The record is from RNAcentral.
UACGUAGGGUGCAAGCGUUGUCCGGAAUUAUUGGGCGUAAAGAGCUCGUAGGCGGUCUGUCGCGUCUGCUGUGAAAAUCCAGGGCUCAACCCUGGACCUGCAGUGGGUACGGGCAGACUAGAGUGCGGUAGGGGAGAUCGGAAUUCCUGGUGUAGCGGUGAAAUGCGCAGAUAUCAGGAGGAACACCGGUGGCGAAGGCGGGUCUCUGGGCCGAUACUGACGCUGAGGAGCGAAAGCGUGGGGAGCGAACAGG